AGCCUUCUGUAUCCGUGCUGAGAUUUCGUCACACACAAACCACAAGGACCGAUGAGACUACCAUGAUAAGUGAAGCG
RNAcentral lists this microRNA precursor (77 nucleotides) under Schistosoma mattheei. RNAcentral describes it as "mir-3492 microRNA precursor family". It matches the Rfam family "mir-3492 microRNA precursor family". The record is from Rfam by way of RNAcentral. Lineage: Eukaryota; Metazoa; Platyhelminthes; Trematoda; Strigeidida; Schistosomatidae.